GACGAACGCUGGCGGCGUGCUUAACACAUGCAAGUCGAACGGAAAGGCCCUGCUUUUGUGGGGUGCUCGAGUGGCGAACGGGUAAGUAACACGUGAGUAACCUGCCCUUGACUUUGGGAUAACUUCAGGAAACUGGGGCUAAUACCGGAUAGGAGCUCCUGCUGCAUGGUGGGGGUUGGAAAGUUUCGGCGGUUGGGGAUGGACUCGCGGCUUAUCAGCUUGUUGGUGGGGUAGUGGCUUACCAAGGCUUUGACGGGUAGCCGGCCUGAGAGGGUGACCGGCCACAUUGGGACUGAGAUACGGCCCAGACUCCUACGGGAGGCAGCAGUGGGGAAUAUUGCACAAUGGGCGGAAGCCUGAUGCAGCAACGCCGCGUGCGGGAUGACGGCCUUCGGGUUGUAAACCGCUUUCGCCUGUGACGAAGCGUGAGUGACGGUAAUGGGUAAAGGAGCACCGGCUAACUACGUG
This 468-nucleotide ribosomal RNA is filed under the name uncultured bacterium. Its description in RNAcentral is "partial 16S ribosomal RNA". It matches the Rfam family "Bacterial small subunit ribosomal RNA", at positions 28 to 507 of the family's 1533-position model. The record is from RNAcentral.